Molecule: long non-coding RNA, 334 nt
Organism: Vicia villosa (hairy vetch)
Lineage: Eukaryota; Viridiplantae; Streptophyta; Magnoliopsida; Fabales; Fabaceae
Exons: 3
Source: RefSeq, a predicted model, not a curated record
UAUCAAAACACUCCCCCUCCCCCAAUCAUUUACCCUAAAUCAAAACAAAAAGUGGCAAAGGCGAAAAUUUGUGCAAACAGAAUUCCAAAGCUGCAUCAAGGCUCCAAUCACACUGCUAAACAACAUUCAAAAGCCCUCAAUCCUAACACUUUGAACAUGUCAGACAAUCAACCAGCACGCAGGACUGCGUCUUCUAGAGAGGGAAUGGGUGGCGCUAAGGGAAGAAAGGGUUCUUCAAAGAAGGAGGUGAAGGAGGUGAAGGAGGUGAAGGAGAAGAAGAAGGUUUUGACUGGUUCUGCUUCUCGUCCCCUGGGGGUCCAUGGCUCGGACGUGC